UGCUAAUACCGCAUAACAACAUUUACCACAUGGUUUAUGUUUAAAAGAUGGUUUUGCUAUCACUUUAGGAUGGACCCGCGGCGUAUUAGUUAGUUGGUGAGGUAAUGGCUCACCAAGACCGUGAUACGUAGCCGACCUGAGAGGGUAAUCGGCCACAUUGGGACUGAGACACGGCCCAAACUCCUACGGGAGGCAGCAGUAGGGAAUCUUCCACAAUGGACGAAAGUCUGAUGGAGCAACGCCGCGUGAGUGAAGAAGGUUUUCGGAUCGUAAAACUCUGUUGUUGAAGAAGAACAUGCGUGAGAGUAACUGUUCACGUAUUGACGGUAUUCAACCAGAAAGCCACGGCUAACUACGUGCCAGCAGCCGCGGUAAUACGUAGGUGGCAAGCGUUGUCCGGAUUUAUUGGGCGUAAAGCGAGCGUAGGCGGUUUAUUAAGUCUGAUGUGAAAGCCCUCGGCUCAACCGAGGAAGUGCAUCGGAAACUGGUAAACUUGAGUGCAGAAGAGGAGAGUGGAACUCCGUGUGUAGCGGUGGAAUGCGUAGAUAUAUGGAAGAACACCAGUGGCGAAGGCGGCUCUCUGGUCUGUAACUGACGCUGAGGUUCGAAAGCGUGGGUAGCAAACAGGAUUAGAUACCCUGGUAGUCCACGCCGUAAACGAUGAGUGCUAAGUGUUGGAGGGUUUCCGCCCUUCAGUGCUGCAGCUAACGCAUUAAGCACUCCGCCUGGGGAGUACGACCGCAAGGUUGAAACUCAAAGGAAUUGACGAGGGCCCGCACAAGCGGUGGAGCAUGUGGUUUAAUUCGAAGCAACGCGAAGAACCUUACCAGGUCUUGACAUACCAUGAAAAGCUAAGAGAUUAGUCUUUCCCUUCGGGGACAUGGAUACAGGUUGUGCAUGGUUGUCGUCA
RNAcentral lists this ribosomal RNA (910 nucleotides) under uncultured Lactobacillus sp. RNAcentral describes it as "bacterial SSU rRNA". It matches the Rfam family "Bacterial small subunit ribosomal RNA", at positions 161 to 1057 of the family's 1533-position model. The record is from RNAcentral. Lineage: Bacteria; Bacillati; Bacillota; Bacilli; Lactobacillales; Lactobacillaceae.